CCUACGGGAGGCAGCAGUGGGGAAUUUUGGACAAUGGGCGCAAGCCUGAUCCAGCCAUGCCGCGUGCGGGAAGAAGGCCUUCGGGUUGUAAACCGCUUUUGUCAGGGAAGAAAAGGUUCUGGCUAAUACCUGGGACUCAUGACGGUACCUGAAGAAUAAGCACCGGCUAACUACGUGCCAGCAGCCGCGGUAAUACGUAGGGUGCAAGCGUUAAUCGGAAUUACUGGGCGUAAAGCGUGCGCAGGCGGUUAUGCAAGACAGAGGUGAAAUCCCCGGGCUCAACCUGGGAACUGCCUUUGUGACUGCAUAGCUAGAGUACGGUAGAGGGGGAUGGAAUUCCGCGUGUAGCAGUGAAAUGCGUAGAUAUGCGGAGGAACACCGAUGGCGAAGGCAAUCCCCUGGACCUGUACUGACGCUCAUGCACGAAAGCGUGGGGAGCAAACAGGAUUAGAUACCCUGGUAGUCCACGCCCUAAACGAUGUCAACUGGUUGUUGGGAGGGUUUCUUCUCAGUAACGUAGCUAACGCGUGAAGUUGACCGCCUGGGGGAGGUACGGCCGCGAGGUAGAACGUACGAAGAAGUAGUAGACGUGAGAGAGCGACGACGACGACGAGGAGGAGGAGG
This 624-nucleotide ribosomal RNA is filed under the name uncultured bacterium. Its description in RNAcentral is "bacterial SSU rRNA". The stretch from base 1 to 542 matches the Rfam family "Bacterial small subunit ribosomal RNA", at positions 338 to 873 of the family's 1533-position model. The record is from RNAcentral.